RNAcentral lists this ribosomal RNA (427 nucleotides) under uncultured bacterium. RNAcentral's name for it is "bacterial SSU rRNA". It matches the Rfam family "Bacterial small subunit ribosomal RNA", at positions 30 to 460 of the family's 1533-position model. The record is from RNAcentral.
AUUGAACGCUGGCGGCAUGCCUUACACAUGCAAGUCGAACGGCAGCACGGGAGCAAUCCUGGUGGCGAGUGGCGAACGGGUGAGUAAUAUAUCGGAACGUGCCCAGUCGUGGGGAUAACGUAGCGAAAGCUACGCUAAUACCGCAUACGAUCUAUGGAUGAAAGCGGGGGAUCGCAAGACCUCGCGCGAUUGGAGCGGCCGAUAUCAGAUUAGGUAGUUGGUGAGGUAAAGGCUCGCCAAGCCGACGAUCUGUAGCUGGUCUGAGAGGACGACCAGCCACACUGGGACUGAGACACGGCCCAGACUCCUACGGAGGCAGCAGUGGGGAAUUUUUGGACAAUGGGCGCAAGCCCUGAUCCAGCAAUGCCGCGUGCAGGAUGAAGGCCUCGGUGUAACGUGCUUUGUUACGGUAACGAAACCGGUAGGA